UAAUCUGCGAAAGCGGGAACCAGCAACGCCGCGUGCGCGAAGAAGGCCUUCGGGUUGUAAAGCGCUUUUCGGGAGGAAGAGGAAGGGCUGUACUCCCGGAAUAAGUCUCGGCUAACUACGUGCCAGCAGCCGCGGUAAUACGUAGGAGGCUAACGUUAUCCGGAUUUACUGGGCGUAAAGCGCGUGCAGGCGGUUCGUUAAGUUGGACGUGAAAGCUCCCGGCUCAACUGGGAGAGGACGUUCAAUACUGGCGGACUUGAGGAUGGUAGAGGGAGGUGGAAUUCCGGGUGUAGUGGUGAAAUGUGCAGAUAUCCGGAGGAACACCAGUGGCGAAAGCGGCCUCCUGGACCAUUCCUGACGCUCAGACGCGAAAGCUAGGGUAGCAAACGGGAUUAGAGACCCCGGUAGUCCUAGCUGUAAACGAUGUGAACUUGGCGUCGGUGGGAUUAAAUCCAUCGGUGUCGAAGCUAACGCGAUAAGUUCACCGCCUGAGGACUACAGCCGCAAGGUUAAAACUCAAAGGAAUUGACGGGGACCCGCACAAGCAGCGGAGCGUGUGGUUUAAUUCGUUGCUACACGAAGAACCUUACCUGGGUUUGACAUAUAGGUUGUAGGGAACUGAAAAGGGACCGACCCUUCGGGGAGCCUAUACAGGUGUUGCAUGGCUGUCGUCAGCUCGUGUCGUGAGAUGUUCGGUUAAGUCCGCUAACGAGCGCAACCCUCGCCGUAUGUUAUAUGUGUCAUACGGGACUGCCGGUAAAAAGCCGGAGGAAGGUGGGGAUGAUGUCAAGUCGGCAUGACCUUUAUAUCCAGGGCUACACACACGCUACAAUGGUCUGCACAAUUGGUUGCCAAGCCGCGAGGCGGAGCCAAUCCUUAAAGCAGGCCUCAGUUCAGAUUGCAGUCUGCAACCCGACUGCAUGAAGCCGGAGUUGCUAGUAACCGCAGAUCAGCAAUACUGCGGUGAAUACGUUCCCGGGUCUUGUACACACCGCCCGUCACGUCAUGGAAGCUGGCAACGCCUGAAGCCGGUAUCCUAACCCUCACGGGAAGGAGCUGUCUAAGGCGGGGUCGGUGACUGGGACGAAGUCGUAACAAGGUAGCC
This 1105-nucleotide ribosomal RNA is filed under the name uncultured Chloroflexota bacterium. RNAcentral describes it as "bacterial SSU rRNA". It matches the Rfam family "Bacterial small subunit ribosomal RNA", at positions 369 to 1501 of the family's 1533-position model. Lineage: Bacteria; Bacillati; Chloroflexota. The record is from RNAcentral.